GAUGAACGCUGGCGGCGUGCCUAAUACAUGCAAGUCGAGCGAACAGACGAGGAGCUUGCUCCUCUGACGUUAGCGGCGGACGGGUGAGUAACACGUGGAUAACCUACCUAUAAGACUGGGAUAACUUCGGGAAACCGGAGCUAAUACCGGAUAAUAUAUUGAACCGCAUGGUUCAAUAGUGAAAGACGGUUUUGCUGUCACUUAUAGAUGGAUCCGCGCCGCAUUAGCUAGUUGGUAAGGUAACGGCUUACCAAGGCAACGAUGCGUAGCCGACCUGAGAGGGUGAUCGGCGACACUGGAACUGAGACACGGUCCAGACUCCUACGGGAGGCAGCAGUAGGGAAUCUUCCGCAAUGGGCGAAAGCCUGACGAAGCAACGCCGAGUGAGUGAUGAAGGUCUUCGGAUCGUAAAACUCUGUUAUUAGGGAAGAACAAAUGUGUAAGUACCUAUGCACGUCUUGACGGUACCUAAUCAGAAAGCCACGGCUAACUACGUG
Molecule: ribosomal RNA, 497 nt
Filed under: uncultured bacterium
Lineage: Bacteria
Description: partial 16S ribosomal RNA
Rfam family: Bacterial small subunit ribosomal RNA
Source: RNAcentral